CAAAAAAGGACACAAGAAAAUAGCCAAUCUAUUUACUGUCAACUUUGCCCGAUGGAAUUGAAACCUUGUAAAUAAUCAACAGUUUCCAAUCUCUAUCAAUUGCAAAUGCAUACAAAAAAGUAAUAAAAGAUUAAUGUGUAAAAGAGGGACGAAAGAUACCAAAGGGACAGUCAAACUCAGAAAUCUAAAACAAACCAACAACGCCAUGGCUAAAAAUGAAAAGGACAAACAGACA
Molecule: long non-coding RNA, 235 nt
Filed under: Mytilus galloprovincialis (Mediterranean mussel)
Lineage: Eukaryota; Metazoa; Mollusca; Bivalvia; Mytilida; Mytilidae
Source: RNAcentral